CUCAAUGGGCACAAUAAGAUGACCAUCUAUGGGUCACAAUAAAAUUUUGAGAAUUUUGGAGGUUAAAGUCAUAAGACUAUAGAGAAUUUUGGAGGUUAAAGUCAUAAGACUAUCAAAUUUUGGAGGUUAAAGUCAUAAGACUAACAAAGGCCACUAUGGGCACAAAAUAAGCCACUAUGGGCAUACAAGGCCACUAUGGGCAUAAGAAAGGCCACUAUGGGUCCAAAAAUGACCUCUAUGGGUCCAAGAAAAGCCUCUAAUGGGCACAAAAACAGACCACUAUGGGUCACAACAAGCCACUAUGGGCAAAAUCAAGAAGAGGGAAUAUGGAAAGAAUAAAAGAGAAAAUGAAUGUGUUUAGAAGAAGGAAAGAAAAUGUUGAAAGAAUCAAGAGUGUGAGAAUUUAUCUCACAAAUCAGAAUUGAAGAAUCAGAAAGAAAAUUUCAGAAAGCAUACAAAUUCACCUCCAUCAUCCAACAAAUUCACCAACUCAUCAUGUACUCAACCAUUACAUACAAUAACAAAUUCAACACUACAACUUCAAUCUAAGAACACCUAAUACCAACUUCAAUCAUCAAUCUCAAUCUCAAUCUCAAUCAAACACCAAUAAAACCAGAACAUCAAUACAACAAUAAUAAACCCAGAAAACAUUGUCAGUUGAAUUAUUACCGGAGUAACUGUGCAUAUAACUUGGCGAAAUCAACAAGUUACCGAUGAAAACUUGCAGUUGAAAGCUUGAGCCGAAAAACAAGAAUCAAAUCUUGAAUGCUUCGAAUAAGAUUUCAUAAUUCGUAGAGGAGAUAAUAGUGAAAA
Long non-coding RNA from Beta vulgaris subsp. vulgaris (sugar beet), 813 nucleotides. RefSeq lists it as uncharacterized. The record is from RefSeq and is a predicted model, not a curated record. NCBI's taxonomy places the organism in Eukaryota, Viridiplantae, Streptophyta, Magnoliopsida, Caryophyllales, Amaranthaceae. The transcript is spliced from 2 exons.